UAGGUUAACGAGGCGAACCGGGGGAACUGAAACAUCUAAGUACCCCGAGGAAAAGAAAUCAACCGAGAUUCCCCCAGUAGCGGCGAGCGAACGGGGAGCAGCCCAGAGUCUGAAUCAGCUUGUGUGUUAGUGGAACGGUCUGGAAAGUCCGACGGUACAGGGUGAUAGUCCCGUACACCAAAAUGCACAGGCUGUGAACUCGAAGAGUAGGGCGGGACACGUGGUAUCCUGUCUGAAUAUGGGGGGACCAUCCUCCAAGGCUAAAUACUCCUGACUGACCGAUAGUGAACCAGUACCGUGAGGGAAAGGCGAAAAGAACCCCGGCGAGGGGAGUGAAAAAGAACCUGAAACCGUGUACGUACAAGCAGUGGGAGCACCUUCGGGUGUGACUGCGUACCUUUUGUAUAAUGGGUCAGCGACUUAUAUUCUGUAGCAAGGUUAACCGUAUAGGGGAGCCGCAGGGAAACCGAGUCUUAACUGGGCGUUAAGUUGCAGGGUAUAGACCCGAAACCCGGUGAUCUAGCCAUGGGCAGGUUGAAGGUUGGGUAACACUAACUGGAGGACCGAACCGACUAAUGUUGAAAAAUUAGCGGAUGACUUGUGGCUGGGGGUGAAAGGCCAAUCAAACCGGGAGAUAGCUGGUUCUCCCCGAAAGCUAUUUAGGUAGCGCCUCGUGAACUCAUCUUCGGGGGUAGAGCACUGUUUCGGCUAGGGGGUCAUCCCGACUUACCAACCCGAUGCAAACUACGAAUACCGAAGAAUGUUAUCACGGGAGACACACGGCGGGUGCUAACGUCCGUCGUGAAGAGGGAAACAACCCAGACCGCCAGCUAAGGUCCCAAAGUCAUGGUUAAGUGGGAAACGAUGUGGGAAGGCACAGACAGCCAGGAUGUUGGCUUAGAAGCAGCCAUCAUUUAAAGAAAGCGUAAUAGCUCACUGGUCGAGUCGGCCUGCGCGGAAGAUGUAACGGGGCUAAACCAUGCACCGAAGCUGCGGCAGCGACACUAUGUGUUGUUGGGUAGGGGAGCG
RNAcentral lists this ribosomal RNA (1029 nucleotides) under Klebsiella pneumoniae. RNAcentral describes it as "partial 23S ribosomal RNA". It matches the Rfam family "Bacterial large subunit ribosomal RNA", at positions 167 to 1238 of the family's 2925-position model. RNAcentral also lists the same sequence under 2 other names. Lineage: Bacteria; Pseudomonadati; Pseudomonadota; Gammaproteobacteria; Enterobacterales; Enterobacteriaceae. The record is from RNAcentral.